AUGUAUCUAUCCAGUGUUUCAACUGUUCGCAGUAUGAUUGUUGGUUCUUCCCCAGAAUUUGCACUCUCCAGACACUUGAGCUUUUUGUCUUUUACAUUAAUUAUCAUCACACAAUUUAACCCCAAAAAAUUGCAUUAUCACAGUUUCGAUCUGUGGAAAUAGCCUCUUUAAAAAAUGUACAGUAAGGCUACGUACAAUAGACCCUUGUGAUCACCCCUUUACAGGAUCUUGCACAU
Molecule: long non-coding RNA, 236 nt
Filed under: Capsicum annuum
Lineage: Eukaryota; Viridiplantae; Streptophyta; Magnoliopsida; Solanales; Solanaceae
Description: long non-coding RNA (CANN_LNC012787)
Source: RNAcentral